This 513-nucleotide ribosomal RNA is filed under the name uncultured bacterium. Its description in RNAcentral is "bacterial SSU rRNA". It matches the Rfam family "Bacterial small subunit ribosomal RNA", at positions 501 to 1016 of the family's 1533-position model. The record is from RNAcentral.
CUACGUGCCAGCAGCCGCGGUAAUACGGAAGGUCCGGGCGUUAUCCGGAUUUAUUGGGUUUAAAGGGAGCGUAGGCUGGAGAUUAAGUGUGUUGUGAAAUGUAGACGCUCAACGUCUGACUUGCAGCGCAUACUGGUUUCCUUGAGUACGCACAACGUUGGCGGAAUUCGUCGUGUAGCGGUGAAAUGCUUAGAUAUGACGAAGAACUCCGAUUGCGAAGGCAGCUGACGGGAGCGCAACUGACGCUUAAGCUCGAAGGUGCGGGUAUCAAACAGGAUUAGAUACCCUGGUAGUCCGCACAGUAAACGAUGGAUGCCCGCUGUUGGUACCUGGUAUCAGCGGCUAAGCGAAAGCAUUAAGCAUCCCACCUGGGGAGUACGCCGGCAACGGUGAAACUCAAAGGAAUUGACGGGGGCCCGCACAAGCGGUGGAGCAUGUGGUUUAAUUCGAAGCAACGCGAAGAACCUUACCAGGUCUUGACAUCCCUCUGACCUCUCUAGAGAUAGAGAUUUC